UCCGAGGCGCGAUUAUUGCUAAUUGAAAACUUUUCCCAAUACCCCGCCAUGACGACUUGAAAUAUAGUCGGCAUUGGCAAUUUUUGACAGUCUCUACGGAGA
Small nuclear RNA from Zonotrichia albicollis (white-throated sparrow), 102 nucleotides. RefSeq annotates it as U4 spliceosomal RNA. NCBI's taxonomy places the organism in Eukaryota, Metazoa, Chordata, Aves, Passeriformes, Passerellidae. The record is from RefSeq and is a predicted model, not a curated record.